RNAcentral lists this ribosomal RNA (301 nucleotides) under uncultured bacterium. Its description in RNAcentral is "partial 16S ribosomal RNA". It matches the Rfam family "Bacterial small subunit ribosomal RNA", at positions 509 to 807 of the family's 1533-position model. The record is from RNAcentral.
CAGUAGCCGCGGGAACACGUAGGUGGCAAGCGUUGUCCGGAAUUAUUGGGCGUAAAGGGCUCGCAGGCGGUUUCUUAAGUCUGAUGUGAAAGCCCCCGGCUCAACCGGGGAGGGUCAUUGGAAACUGGGAAACUUGAGUGCAGAAGAGGAGAGUGGAAUUCCACGUGUAGCGGUGAAAUGCGUAGGGAUGUGGAGGAACACCAGUGGCGAAGGCGACUCUCUGGUCUGUAACUGACGCUGAGGAGCGAAAGCGUGGGGAGCGAACAGGAUUAGAUACCCCAGUAGUCCCUGUCUCUUAUAC